CCAAGAAUAAGUUAUUUACAUGCUAUUCCCAUAAGGGGCAACCUUGCAAUAAUGAAGAAAAGCAACUGUGAGUGUAGUAAAGCCUGACUCAGAUCAGUGGUGUCCCUUCCACAGGUGUAACUGAAUAUUGGUUUAGGUUUGGAAAGUAUGAAGUACUGUGGGGCAGAAGAUGCUGCACAUAUUUAUGUGGAGGUGAACCUGCCCAGAGAUAGUGAAGAGUGAAAUGAUUGCCUGGAGAACCCUAGUUCCUAAAAAUCCUGUAGUUUUAGAAAUGGAAAGGAUUCUACUAAUAUAAAGGAAUUUAAUACUACAUGACAGCUCUAUUGUGACAUUUACUCCUUGUAAAACCUUACCAAGCAUCUGCUUUUGACCCAGAUACACUAAAUCUAUAUUAAAUUCUAAACUCUUCCUAGUCUAUGUGAGAUGCCAAAACAUUUCCAUAACUGGUUCUACUUGUCUACAAGGUCUUUGUUCCACCAUCAGACACAUGGGAAUGUGUGCCCUUGCUAUUGCAGUUGUGUAGAUCCGUGCUGUCAUUUUCCCGUCAACCCUCCUAAUACUGUAAGCUGUAGAUUUUUUGGUGUAUUCUUUCCCUGGGCAGGUGUUCAGAAUGAGAAGAUGUCUUCUUCAGGACAGAGGACAAGCGUUGGCAGGUUUCCAGUUUCCAGGUGCUACAGGAAUCUUCAUCUGUUUAUAAUAUGAAUGUUAGAAGUCUGCUUUUAUACUCAUGUUCUUGGCAGUUAUGUAUUGUUUGCACCAUCAAACAUUGCAGAUUGUAAGCAUGUUUUGCACAUUAACAAUAAAGGUAGAAGUUAUA
Lonchura striata (white-rumped munia) is the source of this 817-nucleotide long non-coding RNA. RefSeq lists it as uncharacterized. Lineage: Eukaryota; Metazoa; Chordata; Aves; Passeriformes; Estrildidae. The record is from RefSeq and is a predicted model, not a curated record.